UACUCUUUACACUCGGCAAUCCCCCCCGCACGGCGCACGAACUCCUUGUCUGCCUGGUGUGAGGCAGCCAGAGCAGAGGAGCCUCACACCAGGCAGACGGGGAGUCCGGGCGGCGUGCGCGCGAUGGUGGGGCGGUUGUAUCGCAGUGGCGGCUCCUAUCUCCCCUCUGUAUCUGGCCGGACUGCGUUACCGGGGGAUGGGAGGGCGGGGAGCUAAUCAGCGGCCGCACAUGUAGAUGUAGAAUUAUGAAAAACGACACACUUAAAUAGCAGGGAGAGGUCGCGCCCGGUAUCGAGAGCUACAGGCAUCUUCCGGAUCAUGUGAUCUCCUACAUGAAUAGUGAUUACCGACUGAAGACGCCGUCUGCAGAGGAAGGACAUUUCUUCAGAUGUUCCCCGUUAUGAGAAGCCACCAUAUAGAGUUGGAUGUUCUGGUGACUGAGAACACUUGUCCACUUCCACGAGUUGGAUGUUCUGGUGACUGAGAACACUUGUCCACUUCCACGAUAUUGUACUUCUAAGAAGAGAACAAUCUUCAUUAGACUGUGUGUAUCUGUCUGAGCUAUGGCUUUAUAAUGGCCAGGGAUCGUUUGAGAGGAAACCAGCAAAACAAGGGCCACUGUAUACAGAAGUGACGUACCACAGUGAGAAUUCUUAGGAUUACCCAAGUGUAUGUUUCCAUUCUUUAUACCCAUCUGGAAUUCAGAUGAGAGACGCAGUCUCUAAAAAGGACGUAACGAAGUAAAGGAGAGAAGAAAAAAAGUGGGGAUAGAAAAAAGAAAAGAAACAGAAAAAAGGAAGAAGAGAGAAAGAAGGAAAGAAAGAAAGAAAGAAAGAAAGAAAGAAAGAAAAGAUCGCCUGAUACCAGCUGCUGUCUCAUAUUACCUGAAUAUGCUGCAUAAGAGAGACUGGUGAUAAAGCAGGCUUGUCCAGCUAUAAACCUGGAGGGCUGGAGGCAGGCUAGGAUUUCAUGGUGCAAGCAAGAUCCACUGAAUCGAAAAGUCAGAACGCUACACGUAAAUCAACUUAAGAUCUAAUCAUGUUUUCUUGCUUGAUCACUGACGUGUGUAUGUACAAAGCACCUGGCAGCUGUUUGAAAACAAUUCUGAAUGUCAAAUGAUUGCAAAAUUGGGUAAAUACCAGUAACUUUGUUAAAUACCAGUAACUUUUCUUAUAUUGUAACUUCUGUGGACAUUAGAAAUAUUUCUCAGUAUUCAACAAGAAGAUACAAAAGUUAUACAUGAUAAGGGUCUUACCUUGUAUUAGACAGUAUUUCCAACCAUCUGACUGCUCUAUACAUUGUCUAUAAUUAUGCUGACGGGUACAUUUUCUAAACCUUCUAAAACAGAAAUUGGUGAUGUUGCACAUAGCAACCAAUCAGUUGCCGCCUAUCAUUUCUCUAUUGCCUUUUUGAAAAUGAUAGACAGCAUCUGAUUGGUUGCUAUGGACAACAUCAACAAUUCUUUGUUUUAGAAGCUUUAGUAAAUAUAUCCCUUAGUCUGCGACAUGCGACAUUGAUUCUGGGGGUCAUUCCGAGUUGAUCGCUCGCUAUCUACUUUUUACAGCCGUGCAAACGCAUAGUCGCCACCCACUGGGGAGUGUAUAUUUGCUGUGCAAGUGUGCGAUCACAUGUGCAGCCGAGCAGUAUAAAAAUAGUUUGUGCAGUUUCUGAGUAGCUCAGAACUUACUUAGCUGCUACAAUCACUUCAGCCUGUCCGGUCCCAGAAUUGACGUCAGACACCCGCCCUGCAAACGCUUGGACAGAUGCAAAAAUUAAUAGAGGCGCUCAUGAAAAAACCACACACCAGAUUUGCACAGGUUCAAUAACAACCAAGGAAUCAAAUAUAUUAAUAAAUAGUAUAUAUAUUUAUUAAUGACAGUACUCUAAUAUGAAUAAAAAUACUAAUAUAUAAUAAAUAAUUCAUAAGUACUAUUCCUUAUGACCACUUCAUUUGUCAAAUACAGAAGUUUAAAAAACACAUGGAUAGUCUAAGCUUUGAUUGUUAUACUUAGUAUCAUUGAGAUUUCACUGAACUAGAUAAUAUGUAACAGAGUGUUGCAGUCCUUUUAGAGACGCUGUUGCCACAGCUGCUAGAUGUAAUUCCUGAGCAUAUCACUGGAGCUGCACAAAAUGAGAAUUGCCAGCAUGAAGUAUUUGUAUAUAUGUAUAUAAGAUUACCUCUCCAAAGGGGCUGGUGAACCCGAGCGUCCCCAGGUAAGUCCAAGAAUUUGCCCAAUGGAUGGAAAAACUGGAGGGUACGUAUGCAGUGGCAAACGCAGGAUUUGCAUGGGGGGGUUUCCAGAACUGGGCGGAGCCAAUCACGGGGGUGGGGACUGAGGUGACCCAGUAUAUGCUGGGUCCGUAAAAC
Molecule: long non-coding RNA, 2368 nt
Organism: Pseudophryne corroboree (corroboree frog)
Lineage: Eukaryota; Metazoa; Chordata; Amphibia; Anura; Myobatrachidae
Exons: 10
Source: RefSeq, a predicted model, not a curated record